CGUAGGGGGCAAGCGUUGUCCGGAUUUAUUGGGCGUAAAGAGCGUGUAGGCGGCUUUGCAAGUCCGUUGUGAAAACUCGAGGCUCAACCUCGAGACGCCGGUGGGAACUGCAAAGCUAGAGUCCGGAAGAGGAGAGUGGAAUUCCUGGUGUAGCGGUGAAAUGCGCAGAUAUCAGGAAGAACACCCGUGGCGAAGGCGGCUCUCUGGGACGGUACUGACGCUGAGACGCGAAAGCGUGGGGAGCGAACAGGAUUAGAUACCCUGGUAGUCCACGCCGUAAACGAUGGGUGCUAGGUGUGGGCGGUGUCGACUCCGUCCGUGCCGAAGCUAACGCAUUAAGCACCCCGCCUGGGGAGUACGGCCGCAAGGCUA
This 372-nucleotide ribosomal RNA is filed under the name uncultured organism. Its description in RNAcentral is "bacterial SSU rRNA". It matches the Rfam family "Bacterial small subunit ribosomal RNA", at positions 526 to 896 of the family's 1533-position model. The record is from RNAcentral.